This 1484-nucleotide ribosomal RNA is filed under the name Urnula craterium. RNAcentral describes it as "SSU rRNA". It matches the Rfam family "Bacterial small subunit ribosomal RNA". The record is from RNAcentral. Lineage: Eukaryota; Fungi; Ascomycota; Pezizomycetes; Pezizales; Sarcosomataceae.
AUAAAAUUGAGUUUGAUGAUGGCUCUGAUUGAAUGCUGUUCAAAUGCUUGACACAUGCUAAUCGAACGUCUAUAUAAUUUAUAUUGUAAUAUAAAUUAAACUAGAAGUGGUGUACAGGUGAGUAAAUGAUAAGAUGACUACCUUAAAGUGUGGUGGAAGAUACUACAUAAAACAUAAAGGAAAAAUUUUCGCUUUAAGAUGUUAUUUAAAUCUCGGAUAGGUAGUAGUUAAAGUAAUUGUUUAACUAGCCAAAAAUUCCGUAGUCGAGUCUGAAAGGUCGAUCGACCACAUUGGAUCUGAGACAAGUCCAAUGCGUAAGUACAGCAGUGAGGAAUCUUGGUCAAUAGCCUAACGGCUGAACCAGCAAUUUGAAGGAAUAUGGUAAAUUAACCAAGUUCAAAGUAGAAUAAUGAUAAUGACAAAAUUCUAUUUAAAGUCUUGACCAAAUCACGUGCCAGCAGUCGCGGUAAGACGUGGAAGACAAGUGUUAUUCAUCUUUAAUAGGUUUAAAGGGUACCUAGACGGCAAAUCUUGCCUUUAAAAGGGAACAGAUUUGCUAGAGUUUUAUAUGAGAAGGGAGAAUUAUUGGUGGAGAGAUGAAAUUUUAUAAUACCUUUAGGACUGGUAAUGGCGUAGGCAACCUUUUAUGUAAAAACUGACGUUGAGGGACGAAGGCUUUGGUAAUGAACAGGAUUAGAUACCCUAGUAGUCUUAGCAGAAAAUGCUGAAUGCCAUAGGUUAUAAUAUAAUGGCCUAUAAAUGAAAGUGUAAGCAUUCCACCUCAAGAGUAAUGUGGCAACGCAGAAACUGAAAUCAUUAGACCGUUUCUGAAACCAGUAGUGAAGUAUGUUAUUUAAUUCGACGAUCCACGAAAAACCUUACCACAACUUGAAUAUUGAGUGAGUAAUGAUUUUAGUAAUAUGUACUAAAUAGUGGAAAGUUUUUUAAAUUUUCCACUCCGCUCUAUACAAGCGUUGCACGGCUGUCUUCAGUUAAUGUCGUGAGAUUUUGGUUAGUUCCGCUUAAUUAACGCAAACCCUUACUUUAUUUAAAUUUUGUUUUAUAAAGUUGUAUGUAGAGACAUAAAUAUGAUAAAAGGGACUAAGACAAGUCAUCAUGACCUAAAUGUUGUGGGCUAUAGAUGUGCCACAUAUGCCUUUACAAAGGGAUGCUAAAAUGUGAAUUCUCGCUAAUCCCCUAAAAUAGGAUAUAAUAUGGAUUGUAGUCUGAAAUUCGACUACAUGAAAAAGGAAUUACUAGUAAUCGUGUAUCACCAUGUCACGGUGGAUUUUACCCUCAGAUAGGUACUAACUACUCGUCAGGCGCUGAAAAGAGUACAUGCAAUAAGUUUGGUCUUAUUCUAUUACAAUAUUGCAAUUAGGCAAUUAAAGUUUUGUUUAAAGAUCUUCGUAUGCGUGACGCUAAUUGGUGUUAAGUCGAAAUAUGGUUCGUGUAGUGGAAAUUGCACGGGAUUAAUUAAUUAA